UAGGGAAUAUUGGACAAUGGGCGCAAGCCUGAUCCAGCCAUGCCGCGUGAGUGAAGAAGGCCCUCGGGUUGUAAAGCUCUUUUGUCCGGAAAGAAAAGCAUCGGGCUAAUACCCUGGUGUUCUGACGGUACCGGAAGAAUAAGCACCGGCUAACUUCGUGCCAGCAGCCGCGGUAAUACGAAGGGUGCAAGCGUUACUCGGAAUUACUGGGCGUAAAGCGUGCGUAGGUGGUUUGUUAAGUCUGAUGUGAAAGCCCUGGGCUCAACCUGGGAAUGGCAUUGGAAACUGGCGGACUCGAGUGCGGUAGAGGGGUGUGGAAUUCCCGGUGUAGCAGUGAAAUGCGUAGAGAUCGGGAGGAACACCAGUGGGCGAAGGCGACACCCUGGACCAGCACUGACACUGAGGCACGAAAGCGUGGGGAGCAAACAGGAUUAGAUACCCUGGGUAGUCCACGCCCUAAACGAUGCGAACUGGAUGUUGGGUGCAACUUGGCACUCAGUAUCGAAGCUAACGCGUU
RNAcentral lists this ribosomal RNA (517 nucleotides) under uncultured bacterium. Its description in RNAcentral is "partial 16S ribosomal RNA". It matches the Rfam family "Bacterial small subunit ribosomal RNA", at positions 355 to 861 of the family's 1533-position model. The record is from RNAcentral.